RNAcentral lists this long non-coding RNA (4936 nucleotides) under Homo sapiens (human). RNAcentral's name for it is "HSALNT0394791". The record is from RNAcentral. Lineage: Eukaryota; Metazoa; Chordata; Mammalia; Primates; Hominidae.
GCGAAGGAGAACAAUAAGAGGCAGGUAAAGCUGGAGCCCGUAACAGGAGGAAACGUGAGCAUUGAAAACCCGCCCUUUGGAUGAACUGACCACAGCUGGACAACACCAGUGCCAGGCCAGGGUUCCAAGCACUGCAGAGAUGAAGCACCUUCUUCCAGGAGUUCCUGGAGUUCUCAGAAGCCAGAGUGGACUUGUUCCUCCGUUUUAUUUGAUGAGGGUCUGGCUCUGUCACCCAGGCUGGAGCGUAGCUGCACCUCUGCCUCCAGGGCUCAAGUGAUCCUCCCACCUCAGCCUCACAAGUCACUGGGACCACAGCACGUGCCACCACACCCAGCUAAUGUUUGCUUUCUUUGUAGAGACAGGGUUUCACCAUGUUGCACAGGCUGGUCUCAAACUCCUGAGCUCAUGCGAUUCUCCUGUCUUGGCCUCCCAAAGUGAUGGGAUUACAGGUUUGAGCCACUGCACUCAUCCUAGGUAUUUCUCUAUAGCAAUGCAAGAAAAACUAAUACGAAGGUGAAUCCAUCUGCAGAUCCAGACUCCACAGGAAGCCAGCAAGUGUGAUUGCGGGCUCUGCUGCAUUUCAGGGGCGGUUCUAUACUUGGCACGUGCAUGCUUUCCCCAGCCUAGCAUAUUAGCCUGCUGGGGCUACUAUAACAAAAUACCACAAACUGAGUGGCUUAAUACAACUGAAAUGCAUUCUCUCACACUUCUAGUGGCCAAAGUCCAAGAUCAAAGUUUUGGCAGGGUUGGCUCCUUCUGGACACUCAGAGGGAGAGUCUGUCCUGUGUCUCUCCCCUGGCUUCUCCUGGUUGCUGGCAACCCUUGGCAUUUUUUGCUUAUAAAUGCAUCCCUCUUAUCUCAGCCUGUACUGUCACGUGACCUUCUUCCCUGUGCAUCUGUCUCUUGUCCUCUUCUUCUAAGGACAGCAGUCAUAUUGGAUUAAGGGCCCAGCCACUCCAGCAUGACCUCCUCUUAACUUGAUGGCAUUCAAAGCCAUCAGGUUUGGAAACAAGGUCACAUUACCAGGGACCGGAGGCUAGGACUUGAAGAUACCCUUUGGGAGGAGACACCUGCAACGUUUGGAUUGGAGAAGACUCAGUGACCUUCUGGGAUGUCGUUUACCCUCCCUGGGCUGCAGCUUCCUUGUUUGUAGAGGAAGAGGUUAAAUUAAACAAUCUCUUCCAGGUCUCAUGGUCUUCGAAUCUGUUUUCUCCUCUGCUGUUUUCUCAGCUUCCUUCUCCCGAUGGAAAUAGGGGGCCAGUGUAUUUCCCCUGCCUCCCCUCCCUCUCAGCCCUGCUUUCAAGUCUUAGAGCUGGCAAGGGCUUUGUGCAAUACUCCAGGUCCUACCCUCAAUUUCUGGUGGAACAACAGAAUAAGCGGUCUCUGCAUGCACACAAAUCCCUUCAGCUCCGUCUGGGCCCAGCGGCAGCUGACCAACCAGCCCAUCACACACCUUUCUGCAGGCCCCUUCCCCGCCCGGCCUCUUUCUCUACUCUUUUUGUUUAUUUUUAUUCCCCAGUCUCUCAUCUCUCACCUAUACAGUCAAGUUUCCAGCCUCUCUUUCCACCCACUGUUCAGCCAUCAGUCAGCCUAAACAUUCUACUUUCUGCCUUUCUCCCCACAAGCAACUUUGUUUGCAGAGAACCCACAGAGUUUGACAUGUUGUCUGCAGACUCUCUGUCCACAGGCUGCAGGUGUAGUGGAGCCCGCUCCAGACUGAGACAGAGGCCCAGGUUUUUACCAGGCUGUGCUGCUGCCAGCCUGGUGUGACUACCCAUCCCACCCCCUUCGAUACCUGUGCCUCAGUUUCUCCCAUGGAUAAUGGAGUGGGACUCAAUGGGAGUAACAGACUCCAAGAACAUGAAUGGGGGUGAGCAGGGACCACCAAACACGUCCUCUGCCCAUCUCAUGUCCGACCCACUCACCUCCCAAGUAACAGGCACAACUUCACCAAAUCUGUGGCCCCCCAACUGGGUGGAUAAGGCCAGGACUUGCUUCUGAUUUGCACAGCACAUCCCCCCAGCAUUGGAAUAAAAGCUGCUCAGGAUGGCCCUCGAGAUAAGGUUUUCAGAGCUCUAGGGAUCCAGACCCAAAACUGCGGGACCUCUGAGGAAGCACAGGUUCCUGCACUGAAGGCAGAGCACUGGCCAUCUAUUUUGACUCUAAAUAUUUGGAGGAAUUCUGCGAGCUGUUUUGUAAGCUGCACUGAGGUAAUGCUGUGUCAUGGAAACCAGUGCAGGCAAGAUUUCUAGGGAGAGGCAGUGUUUACCCUUGUUACAUGGACUAGAGGUCAGCAAAAGCAGAAGCCCCUCAAGAGCGUGCGCAGAGCUGCAGAGGUAAGCUGGCAGGUCCCAACCAGUCUCCAGCAAAUUUGGCCAUGAAAUGAGGAAUCCCUGGGACCUCCGUUUUUCUUGGCCAUGUCCCUUGCUGGGCACCUAUAUGCGUGAUCUUAUUUCAGCUUCAUGAUUCUUGCAGGCAUCAUUAUCAAUGUUUUUGUUGCUGUUUUAACUGGCGGGGUGGGCGGGGAGAGAGGGGAAAUCACGUUCCCAGAGACAUAUAGCUAAAGAGAAAGUGAAGAUUUGAGCCUGACACCAGCCAUGCUUUUCCUGACAUUCCUGGCAGUGUGAAAGGAAGGACAGCAAUAUGGUUUUCUUGAAGGGGUAACAAGUUUCAGCAAAUAAUUUUGCUUAUAUCUUACGAGAGAGGCAUGGAUGUUUGCUGGGAGGGAAAGGAGCUAGUAGCAAGUGGAAGAGGAAAGACUCCAAAACCAAGAGGAGGGCUCUUCUCUCCCAGAGUUGAGGGGGGAAGGAUGGGAGGGAGGUAAAGGUCAGAAAUCUCUCUUUAUUUGGAAUGGUUUGCACAGCGGCUCACAAUCGGAGCUUCCCUCUGCCUCAGACAGGCCUCUUCUCUAACAGGUGUAAUGCAGUGAUGUUUUCCUUUGGCUUCCUUGCUGAGUCAUGACUAGAUUUGCCUGGGAAAGCUCAGAUAUUACUGAUUCAGUGUUCAUUCCUUUUUCCUCCUUACCACCAGCCUUCAACACUCCAUAUGACGCCUUCAAUAGGAAGGGAGGAAGAUAAAUAACAUGGAAACAGAGAGAAUCACCUGGACCAAUUUUGGUAUUAAAAAACCUGGAAAAAGCAUUACAUGUUUGUCUUUAAUUUUUCUGCCCUCAGAGUGAAUCUUGGUCAUCGUUACAGAACUGUAGAGCUCCAAGAUGAUACCUUUUAUUUCUAAGGAUCCUGCAUGCAGUGUGAGAAGCUGGCUGACGUUGCUAGCUCCACUUCAAAGGUAAAGAAACUGAGUCAGGCAGAGAGAGCACCAGAUCUGUCUGAGCUCAGUGGAGGCGAACAAUCAGAGACUCGACUGAAUAACAGCCUCAGAAAAAGGAUGCAGUUUAGUCUUCCAGCUACGGGCUAAGGUGUCUUAUUUUUUCUAGAGUAAUAAAAAUCAGAAUUUUAAAGUAUAUUCCCUUACUUACCCUGGAGGGCUCAAGAACUCUUUCUUCUUGCUUUUUAUGACUCCGAUUUUACCUGUAGAAGUAAGUGGCACUAUAAAUCCCAAACAGCUUCCUACCUGCUGUUCUUCCCUAGUGAGGCUUGAAGUGAUUACUAGAUAUGGUUUCAGGCUCUGCAAAAUGAUAGGAAACUUAGGGAGUUUGCUUUCUUCUCAGAUUUACCAGGAAGAGAGGGUAAUUUAAAUGGCAUUUCAUUAUCUCAAAAGAGAUGACAAUAAAUAUAUUCUUCUGUUACUGAGAACAGACAAGUAAUUUCUAUUCUUGGAGAUCUUUCCAUGGGAAUUAGAGUAAAACUUCCAAGUUCAAACAUGUUGCCUUUCCUUAUUAGAAAAUCUUGUACUAAAUUGUCACUCUUUAAAACCAGUCACAGUUGAAACUCAUCUCUUCCUUAACAAUGGGUGGAGGUAGAGAGGAGAGGAAUUCAGAACCCUACAGACCCUAAUGCCCAUGAAACCCCCCUCAUGCUUGACCACUUUAGAGGCUGUCUCCCCACUACCAGAUGGGAAGAAACUGGUUGACAAUCUGCAAGUUGUCUUAAAGAGGACAGCACCUGCUCCAGGCCCCAAGUUAUUAAGAAGUACACGUUAAACCAGAAUCUCAUUACGGCUGUCAGAAUUAUAAUGAUUGACAGCUGGAAAAUCUUAUCAUGCAUUUCCGCAGGAUUGCAGCAAAGCUUUGAUUAGCAUUUAGGCAUUCACAUUUGCAGAAGCAGCAUUUUUAUUUGCUCUUAAAUAAUUUUUUAUAACACUCAGACCCAGCACUGAAAUGCUAUAGUGUACUGAUGAGGAGGCUGGUGCCACACAAAACCAAGAUGGGCUUUGUUUUGUUUCUCCUCAAUAUUAUCCUGGCUAGCAUGACCCUGGUUUCCCAUCUCUUGGAUAAAGAAGGAGCUGAACAGAAGUUAUUCAGCUUGUGAUUUGCGCCAGGAGAUGACACAGACUUGCUCUUGACCUCUAAAAAGCACUUCCAAAUUCUCAAGUGUAAUAGAAAUGAACAGCACAGAGGAUGGUUUUAAGAUAAAUAAAUCAAAGUGCCAUCUUAAUUUACAACCAAGAAGGGGCAUGUCUAUACAUUAGACUAAAUAAAACCCCAUGGUUACAAGAAAAUUAGCAUAUGGCCAGUAAAGGUAUUUUCAUAUAAUCUCGGCUUAAUAUUUAAAGUCAUUGGUAACUAAUGGUGAAAAAUGAGAUUUUUUUUCCCCAAAACUACUCCUACUGGCAGAGAAUAUGGUACUAUUGUAUCAUAAAGGCUAUGAGCUCCACUUAUUGCCAUAGUUUUUGGAAAUAGUAAUUGUGUUGGUUUUUAGCUAUUGCUUCCCAGAUCCAAAUCCACUAUUCCAUACUGUGCUUUAUGAUUCUGGCAUUGGGAUGCCAUAAAUGUCAUUUCUCCUUUUUCUAUGCUGCUAACUGAUAUAGAGAGUUU